CUGAAAAACCACUACCCUGUUUGGAAUUAUGCUUACCUAUCACAAGGAAUAGGACUAGAUAGAAAGUUUGGCUGGGGCGGCACACCUUCGAAAGAGCAGCGAAGGUGUCCUAAGUUGAGCUCAGUGAGGACAGAAAUCUCACGUUGAGGAUAAGGCCAAAAGCUCAAUUUACUGUGCCUUUUUGUACUAGGAUCAGUUACGAAAGUAAGGCCUAACGAUCCCUAAAUAGCCUCAGGUGCGUGAGGAUUGGGGUGACAGACAAGUUACCUCCGGGACAACUGGCUUGUGGCUGCUAAGAGAUCAAAUCAACGCAGCUUUUUGAUUCUUCGAUGUCGGCUCUUCCUAUCCUAGUGAUGUACAAGUUGCUAAGGGUCGGAUUGUUCACCCGUAUUAGGGAUCGUGAGCUGGGUUUAGACCGUCGUGAGCCAGGUUUGUUUUAUCCUACUGGAUAUAGCAUCAUGAUAGUAGAUUGAUUUAGUACGAGAGGAACUGUUGAUUAUGGCCUCUGGUUAGCGAUUAUCGGAAACGGUAUGUCGCGCAGCUACGCCGUCUGGGAUAAUGGCUGAAAGCCUCUUAAGCCAGAAGCCCAUCUAGAAAGUGAUGCACGUGAUGUUGGACCGAUACGAAUAAUCAUACUCAAAAGGUCCGCUUCAUAGGUAACCCAAUGUAGAAGACAUUGUGUGAACGAAGGUACUGUAAGCAGUGGAGUGGCAUUACGUCCACGACCUGUUGAGGUUCAGCUUCGCUUCUAGGUUUCC
This 758-nucleotide non-coding RNA is filed under the name Trichomonas vaginalis G3. RNAcentral describes it as "Eukaryotic large subunit ribosomal RNA". It matches the Rfam family "Eukaryotic large subunit ribosomal RNA", at positions 2489 to 3401 of the family's 3401-position model. Lineage: Eukaryota; Parabasalia; Trichomonadida; Trichomonadidae. The record is from Rfam by way of RNAcentral.